GUUUAUCAUAACUGACAUGGUGUUAUUAUUCUUGGUCGAGAUGUUUUCUUGGUGUUUCAUUCAUUGUUCGUUUCAGCUACAAGCUCUGCUCUCUCCCUCUCUUAGGUCAUGAUUACCAGUUGUCUGCCGAUUCUCCUCUGUUUUAACCUGACCUUUCUGCUAUCCUGGCCGAGGUGCUCGUCUUUUAAUGUUAGCCACUCAUGCUUUGUCUAAAGCUGUCUCUCUCACCACUCUGGGCAGACGCCCGCAUAGUGCAGGCUUUCAGCCGCUGGUCUGACGCAGUGCAUCUUGCAUUCGGCUCAUUCCUCGCUUUGUCAUCUGGCUCAGUGUACUGUUUCUGUUCUGUUAACUCUGUUUCGUUCUUCUCGUUCCUCGCCCAAGAGGUAUACAGCACGCUCGUUCAGAAUUGGCGUGGCCACCACGGCCGCUAAGCGGGGUCUGUCCCCUACUGCGAUCAAGGCGCUGGGCCGUUGGUCGUCUGGCGCAUACGCUUCCUGCAUUUGCCUCACUCCUCAUCACCUCGUUGAAGCAUGCUAUAUCUGGUCUGUAACUUUAUGUUUUCUAUUCUCAUUUCUGGUGACGGUGGUAUUUUGCUGCACCGGCGGCAUUCACUCCAUCUCUUGGGGGGCUAUCGCUCCGGUCACCCGGUCAUGUCUGUAUUCUAUCCUUCUCUCAUCUAUCAGAUCGAUUUUAUAGUGGUCCGUAAGCCUGUUAUCUCUAUAUUUUGUAACAUUGAACCAGCCUAGUUGCCAUGGUUGUUUAUCUAUGAUGUCAACUAUCAUACCACAUAUUAUAGCCUACAUUCAUUCAUCCAUCCAUUCAUUUACUCAUUCAUCACCAUGUUCUACUCUCUCUCCUAGGUCACGAUUCCGGCUCUCUACCUACUGUCAUAAUCUAAGUUUUCAGCGCUCUCCUGACCAAGGUGCAUCUAUCAAUCAAAUCAUAACGCUCUGCUGUGUCUCUGCUCUCAGCGCAUCCGCGCCAUGUCUUCUCGCAUAGCCUAAGAUGGUGUCUCCUUGUAAGCGGUAGUUAAGCCGAUUUUGAAGCCACCACCACCCCUCCGUCCACCGUCACCAGAGGUUCCCGUCUGUUAGGGGGCAGGCUACGCCCGCCUCCAUCUCCGCUGGAGGAUAUGCUGUCCUAUCCCGGAGUUCAACGCGAAGACGGGAACCUUCGCCAAACUGAUUCAUGCAUUUUAUCAAGUGUUAUUGUUCGCCAAACUUUUAUGCAUUCCUGUAUCAUGUCUAAUGUUCAAUAAAUGUUAAUAACGUU
Long non-coding RNA from Engraulis encrasicolus (European anchovy), 1272 nucleotides. RefSeq lists it as uncharacterized. The record is from RefSeq and is a predicted model, not a curated record. NCBI's taxonomy places the organism in Eukaryota, Metazoa, Chordata, Actinopteri, Clupeiformes, Engraulidae. The transcript is spliced from 3 exons.